AUUGAACGCUGGCGGCAGGCCUAACACAUGCAAGUCGAGCGGAUGAAGGGAGCUUGCUCCUGGAUUCAGCGGCGGACGGGUGAGUAAUGCCUAGGAAUCUGCCUGGUAGUGGGGGAUAACGUCCGGAAACGGGCGCUAAUACCGCAUACGUCCUGAGGGAGAAAGUGGGGGAUCUUCGGACCUCACGCUAUCAGAUGAGCCUAGGUCGGAUUAGCUAGUUGGUGGGGUAAAGGCCUACCAAGGCGACGAUCCGUAACUGGCCUGAGAGGAUGAUCAGUCACACUGGAACUGAGACACGGUCCAGACUCCUACGGGAGGCAGCAGUGGGGAAUAUUGGACAAUGGGCGAAAGCCUGAUCCAGCCAUGCCGCGUGUGUGAAGAAGGUCUUCGGAUUUUAAAGCACUUUAAGUUGGGAGGAAGGGCAGUAAGUUAAUACCUUGCUGUUUUGACGUUACCAACAGAAUAAGCACCGGCUAACUUCGUG
RNAcentral lists this ribosomal RNA (484 nucleotides) under uncultured bacterium. Its description in RNAcentral is "partial 16S ribosomal RNA". It matches the Rfam family "Bacterial small subunit ribosomal RNA", at positions 30 to 507 of the family's 1533-position model. The record is from RNAcentral.